Molecule: long non-coding RNA, 3306 nt
Filed under: Takifugu rubripes (torafugu)
Lineage: Eukaryota; Metazoa; Chordata; Actinopteri; Tetraodontiformes; Tetraodontidae
Description: lncRNA (ENSTRUG00000027405.1)
Source: RNAcentral
AGCAUAUGCAUGAAAGUUGCAGGUAACUGUCCAAACACAGAUGUAUUUUUUAGUUGUUGACUAUCUGAGGAUUUGCUUUGAUUUUGAUGCCUGCACACAGAGUACGAAGAGAGUGAAGAUUAAACCUCUUUUCUUAUUGGUGCCUGUUCAGGUGCUGUAGUAAACCUUGUUUAUAUUCAGUUUAUGAGGAAUCUAUUAUGAUAUUUUGGGUUAUUGUUGGGUCUUUUGACCUGUUUCUCAUCCUGCUGCUCCAUGUUUCCUUCACAGCUUGUGGAAAGAGGCUGUUUUUCAUUCUGGUUGUUUGUUUUUAGUGGUGUUUUGUCCAGUUGAGUGUUUGUGAAGAGGGAUUAUAGUAGGGGAACGAGGAAGCAGCCCUGAGGAGUUCUGGUGACCAGGAUGAGAGGAGAUGAGAUGUGGGUUUUUAUCCUGACAUGUGGUGGUCUGGCUCAGAGAGGAUCAAUGAUGAUGAUCAAAGAGAUAUUUUAGCUUUUUUUGAUACCGUCCACCAAUUUGAGCAGAUACGACUCACGGCUUAAGGUUUAAAAUAAUUAACCAUGAUAUUAAACUGUCUACAUCUUUCAAUAUUAAUUUGACAAGACCUGAGAUUGGGAUCAAUUUAUAACAUGAUUAUUUUUGUCAGAACCGCUGAUCCCACUGUGAGGGUCCAGAGUUUUGACUCCAUUUGUUUGUGUGUUUCAGGUUCCCAUUCUCUUGAGUUCUUGUCUACAGGACGUGUUCAGCCUGGAUCUGGGCCCCAUUUUGAACAAGUUACAGAGUUUGAUGGAGUUGUGAUCUCUCACUGUGACAGUGGGACACAACAAGAACACUUCAAACCCGUCCUGGAACCCCACAACUUACCUGGGACCUGCACAGCAGCAUUUUAUGAUGUUUUUGAUGCUCUCAAAGAGAUUUCUAAAUUCAUCAAUCACACACGGAAUGUUCAGCGGCGGCGUGGCUGCAUCACGUCAGACAAGAGGCUUGAAUCUGCUUUUGACAACUGGGCAGUGAAUGGAGAGGGUUUCAUUCAGUUUGAUGCUGGAGCUCAGAAAUGGAAAGCCCUGUCUCCUUCUGCAGAAAUGAUUAAAGAUUCGUGGAACAACCGUGAGGCUCGGAACCAUUUCUUUGGACAAUUCAUCAAUGAAGAAUGUCCAGAAAUGAUCCAUCAGAUCAAAUUAAGAGAAGUGGAAAAAAGAACAGAUCUCCGUGUGUUUGCCAACCCUGUUGAUUUAACCAGGGCAUUGCUGAAGUGCCACGUCACAAGUACUGACAAAUCAGUGCGUUCAGUGUCUCUGACUGAAGACGGGGCCACCAAGGCAAACUGGAUCACUGUAACUGGCCCGUUGCCUUCUGGGGAUGGAUCAGUGAUCCUCAUCCUGACAGCUGAGGUCCCCCUGAUCCACACCAACAUCUAUGGCUGUGUUGUCCAAACAGAAGACAGAACCAUCACUGUCAUGUGGGGUGAGAACUUUACAUUUACAUACUGCUGCAUGAUUGUUAUUGAGUCGUGAUCCAGGCUGCACACAGGCCAGUGGGAUCUUAUUGUUGCUGGGGGGGUUCUGGUGUGUUGGGUACUCUGGUAAAAGUCCCUCAUGAAGAAGCUCUGAAACGUUCCUGGUGAUUCUCUGGUCUUCCUCCGUCUGAAAGCAGACCUUUUGGAUCUUUUCUGGCUGAGAUUACAGCAGUGUUGGUCAUUAACUCUGUCAGAAACGGCUGUUUCGAUGCUGUUGAAACUUAUUUGAGACUUAUUUUUUUGUCUCUCCACAAGGUUUUUUUUGGCCCAUUUAAUUAACAGAACAUCCAGAAAGAAACGAGCUACUACAGAGUUACAAUUUGGUACAGGCAGUGGAAUGCACAGAAUCACCCUCUGCCAGCAGGGGGCGCUGCAGCAGCUCAGCACCCACCUUUCUAUCGUCUUGGCACAGAAUUAUCAGUGCGCAACGUUGAGCUUCAGUCUGUGUCCAGGCCUCAGACAACUGUCGGCAUUUCACGUUGGUCCAGACAGUUAAUAAAUGUAACAGUUGAAAUACUCUAAAUAGAGUCAGUCACACUUUCUGUUAUUCGGAGCACAGCUUUCAAAAUAUUAAAAAUAAGUUUAUUACAAUAACACAUAUGACGACAUGCUGCAUAGAGUAAAGUAUGGCCAGUUUGGUGAUUACAAUAAUCAUGUUUUUGUUGUUUAUACUCUUUUAUGAGCAGAUGGAAACACACUUGAUGGACGACACAUCCUUUACAUCCAGAUGACGUUUUGGAGAAUUAUCGGCAUCAUCUUUACAGUUUGUUGUUUAAUCUCCGUAAUGACUCUUUUGUGUAAGUCUCACUUCUUUGAUAGUAACUUUCAAGUCAGUCUGUGAGCUGAUAUUUUACUAUUGUGGCCCUGCAUUAAUAGAAUGUUAAUGAUGUUUCUUGUGAAAUACACCUGUCAGCAUCUAUUAAUUGUUUCCUUCAUUUUAUUUCUUCAUAGUCACAAGAGAGGAAAAAGUGGUGAAGGAAACUUAACUCAUGAGUCCAUUGAAGAAUAACUGGGGGAAGAUGGAUUUUAUCCACGGAGGACUUGAGGCAGAGACGACAUCAAUGAUCCAGGAUGUUUUACUCUUCAUGCUGAAAGUGCACGUCUAUAAAGUCACAUGUGCUGUAAUAUUUGGACUGUGUUGUCAUCCAGUAGCAGAGCUUUGGGACUUAUGCUACUGACACGGUCUAACCUUCACUGACUGUCAUCUUUUUUAAGAAGCCAAGAAGGCCAAACUAUGGAAAACUUUAGCAUUUUGACGCUAAAUUCAGUGUUAAUGAUCUUGAGCUUCUUAAUCAGAGCUUAACACUCAUCUUUCAAAACUGCCGUUAAACACCUCGUAAUGCUGUCACGUUUAUGUCUGGUUUCAUUUAUUUUUGUGUUAUUUACUCAUUCAUCUCUCCUCUAUUUUGUUUGCGUCAUUAUUUAUUUUAUGUAAAACACUGGUUAACGACUGGGCAUUAUAAAAAUCUUAUGUUGUUGAAUGUAUGAUGACUUUAUUUCUGUUUCUGAAAGACUCUGAGUUGUUCUUUUAAUAAUUUAACAAAUUCAUGUGAAAACUGGUCCACUUAUAUUCUAUUGAAAAUGAUAAAUUGUUUAACAGUGUUUGGGGAAAAUAAUUUGCAGAACUUGAUAUGUGAAAUCAUUAAUAAUGGAAAAAAAAAAAGAAACUCUUAAAUGUUUGUAAAUAUUGUAUGUUUUUACUUCCUGCAAUAAAUGAAUUUUAUUUUUGUUAAGAGCCUGUGUGAUAAUGUUCAUUUUCAUUACAUGAGGAAAUGUCUGAUUAGAUGAGGUGGUUA